Non-coding RNA from Paramuricea clavata, 1162 nucleotides. The record is from the annotation of a GenBank genome assembly. NCBI's taxonomy places the organism in Eukaryota, Metazoa, Cnidaria, Anthozoa, Malacalcyonacea, Plexauridae.
CAGAACAUCCCAAAGCAUUCAUGGUUUCUCAUUUAAAGAAGUUAAUGGAUUCAAGGGCUAUAGAAAUGAAUCAUCCAUGUUUGUUUGAUGACACAAAUAUCAGGUCUUUAUUUGGAAUUUUGGAUAUAUCAAAUCAUGGUUAUAUUAACUAUGAGCAGUAUAAACGAGGUAAUUAGUUACCAAGCACAAUUAUCAUUUCCUUUGAAUUAUCAAAACUCAUGCUUUCUCUCAUAUGUGUUUUUGUGUCAAUUAAUUAGCAUUGAAUUUCAUAAAAUUAAUGCGACUUCAUUCCUAUGCCAAUAGUAUGCCUAUUUGUGCUGAAAUGACAAGUAUUAUUAUUCAGCUAAUAAAACCUAGCUAUUACAGUAGGUGGACACUUUCAAUCUUAAUAAUUUAUAUACAACUGCAUGUUACACUACUUUUGUUUUAUCCCAGUUAGUCUUUGUUGUAUCUUCCAUAGUUCCAUGUGCACAUGCAGAUCAUUCAUGCCAAUACCAUAUAUGUAUAACAUUAAUUUGUUCGUUUUUACAAAAUGUACUGGAUCAUUUUCUCUUCAGCUCUUGAAAACUUGGGCAUCAAAGAUAUCAAUCGUAAUCCGCCUGGUGCUGAUUUGGAUGAAAUUACCUUAGAGGUCUUUCUCAAGGAAGCGUGAGUAUAUAUCACCAGUUUUAGCGAGCUCUAUAUAUAUCUGGAGCGCCUUCCUUGGUGCAAUCGUGAGAUAACUCCACUUUCUUGAUAUUCAAUGCAUUAAUGAAUUUACGUCACGCUUUGCAUAAUGACACCUACCAUGGUACUUAAAAUAUUAUAUGACUUUUGGGUAAACGUUUUUACUAGAAUUGUGCUUUCCUCUAUAAGAAUAUGUCUACUCUAAAAACGAUGCAGAGCGUCCAUCAUAUACAGUCUUUAACUUUAUCUUUUAAAUGCAAUUUUACGUUUACUAAUUCUAUUUUUUUCCUUUCGUAUUACCUUUACAAUACUUUUAGGAGAGUUGGUUUGUCCACAUCGUCGGCUACUUUCCUUGCCACCUAAUGCAAAUAUUGAAGUAUCGUUCUUUUAUUGUAGUAUUAAUAUAUUAGUAGGUUUAGCCAUUCUGAUUGGCAAUAACUGCAAAAAAUGGUUAGGAAGAUCAUGCAGGUGAACUUUUGUGUUAUUAACCUCAGCC